RNAcentral lists this ribosomal RNA (765 nucleotides) under uncultured Streptococcus sp. RNAcentral's name for it is "bacterial SSU rRNA". It matches the Rfam family "Bacterial small subunit ribosomal RNA", at positions 28 to 776 of the family's 1533-position model. Lineage: Bacteria; Bacillati; Bacillota; Bacilli; Lactobacillales; Streptococcaceae. The record is from RNAcentral.
GACGAACGCUGGCGGCGUGCCUAAUACAUGCAAGUAGAACGCUGAAGAGAGGAGCUUGCUCUUCUUGGAUGAGUUGCGAACGGGUGAGUAACGCGUAGGUAACCUGCCUGGUAGCGGGGGAUAACUAUUGGAAACGAUAGCUAAUACCGCAUGAUAUUAAUUGUCGCAUGAUAAUUAAUUGAAAGAUGCAAUUGCAUCACUACCAGAUGGACCUGCGUUGUAUUAGCUAGUUGGUGAGGUAACGGCUCACCAAGGCGACGAUACAUAGCCGACCUGAGAGGGUGAUCGGCCACACUGGGACUGAGACACGGCCCAGACUCCUACGGGAGGCAGCAGUAGGGAAUCUUCGGCAAUGGGGGGAACCCUGACCGAGCAACGCCGCGUGGGUGAAGAAGGUUUUCGGAUCGUAAAGCUCUGUUGUAAGAGAAGAACGGGUGUGAGAGUGGAAAGUUCACACUGUGACGGUAUCUUACCAGAAAGGGACGGCUAACUACGUGCCAGCAGCCGCGGUAAUACGUAGGUCCCGAGCGUUGUCCGGAUUUAUUGGGCGUAAAGCGAGCGCAGGCGGUUAGAUAAGUCUGAAGUUAAAGGCUGUGGCUUAACCAUAGUAUGCUUUGGAAACUGUUUAACUUGAGUGCAGAAGGGGAGAGUGGAAUUCCAUGUGUAGCGGUGAAAUGCGUAGAUAUAUGGAGGAACACCGGUGGCGAAAGCGGCUCUCUGGUCUGUAACUGACGCUGAGGCUCGAAAGCGUGGGGAGCAAACAGG